This 497-nucleotide ribosomal RNA is filed under the name uncultured bacterium. Its description in RNAcentral is "partial 16S ribosomal RNA". It matches the Rfam family "Bacterial small subunit ribosomal RNA", at positions 28 to 507 of the family's 1533-position model. The record is from RNAcentral.
GAUGAACGCUGGCGGCGUGCCUAAUACAUGCAAGUCGAGCGAACGGACGAGAAGCUUGCUUUUCUGAUGUUAGCGGCGGACGGGUGAGUAACACGUGGAUAACCUACCUAUAAGACUGGGAUAACUUCGGGAAACCGGAGCUAAUAUCGGAUAAUAUUUUGAACCGCAUGGUUCAAAAGUGAAAGACGGUCUUGCUGUCACUUAUAGAUGGAUCCGCGCUGCAUUAGCUAGUUGGUAAGGUAACGGCUUACCAAGGCAACGAUGCAUAGCCGACCUGAGAGGGUGAUCGGCCACACUGGAACUGGGACACGGUCCAGACUCCUACGGGAGGCAGCAGUAGGGAAUCUUCCGCAAUGGGCGAAAGCCUGACGGAGCAACGCCGCGUGAGUGAUGAAGGUCUUCGGAUCGUAAAACUCUGUUAUUAGGGAAGAACAUAUGUGUAAGUAACUGUGCACAUCUUGACGGUACCUAAUCAGAAAGCCACGGCUAACUACGUG